This 292-nucleotide ribosomal RNA is filed under the name uncultured bacterium. Its description in RNAcentral is "partial 16S ribosomal RNA". It matches the Rfam family "Bacterial small subunit ribosomal RNA", at positions 505 to 796 of the family's 1533-position model. The record is from RNAcentral.
GUGUCAGCCGCCGCGGUAAUACAGAGGGUGCGAGCGUUGUCCGGAAUCACUGGGCGUAAAGGGCGCGUAGGCGGCCCGGCAAGUCAAUGGUGAAAGCUCGACGCUCAACGUCGAGUCGGCCACUGAUACUGCGGGGCUGGAGCACUGUAGAGGCAGAUGGAAUUCCGGGUGUAGCGGUGGAAUGCGUAGAGAUCCGGAAGAACACCGGUGGCGAAGGCGGUCUGCUGGGCAGUUGCUGACGCUGAGGCGCGACAGCGUGGGGAGCAAACAGGAUUAGAUACCCCAGUAGUCC